RNAcentral lists this long non-coding RNA (2402 nucleotides) under Ooceraea biroi (clonal raider ant). Its description in RNAcentral is "uncharacterized LOC105277169". Lineage: Eukaryota; Metazoa; Arthropoda; Insecta; Hymenoptera; Formicidae. The record is from RNAcentral.
UGAGACGAUUAUUUGAGAUUACGCACAGAUUCGAUUUGAUUUUCCGCGCUUUCUUUGAUUCAGGAAUUGAUUAAGGAAUUAAUUAACGUUAUAAUAAAUUUUUCCCUCAUAAUUUUUGCAACAUGCUCGCGCUUAAAAAUCUCUAAAUCUUUUUUGACGUCACUUCUACGCGUCUUUUUCCAUUCAUUUGCUCGUCCAUUUCGCUGAGUAAUCAGGAUCGGAUAAUUCUCUUCGUUUCGCGGCAGUUGUCUCGCGGAAGUGGAUGUUACCUUAAUUACGUGCUUCAAGGCCAUCGAGGAAAUUCAAUUACGAUAAAAAAGUUCCUAUCAGUAUUACAAAUUAAGUGUAAUCUCGGCGCGAAGAAUAUCUCUUUCCGAUGUGUGCGGUCGUAUGGUUAUUCGCGUAAUCAAUUAUCCGUCGUGCGAGGUAUGAAUAAGUAAGAAAAACGAUAGCGAUCGUUUUCGCUUAACAGCCGGUCGUAGCGUUUUAUAGGCAUUGAUAACAGACUAUGACAGAUAUUACGUUCUAUGCAUGAUUUUUACGAUUUUUUGCAACGUGAGCGAAUUAAAACUCCUCGGAAUAAAUCUUUCCAGAAGUAAAACUGCAAAUAUAAUAAAACGAAUUUAAUCUGCACUUUUUCCUAUUUCUUGCUUAUAUAGAAUCAUCUUUUCUUCAAUUGCAUCGCUUAUUGCGGAACACUGAAUGACGGAAAAAACGGAAGAGGGACUGCGUCGAAGAAUUUUCUUACUUGAAGAGAAAAUCACGUACGAUAAUAAUAGCAAUAAGUCAUUCUAAUCAAUAUAUCGUUUCUCGGCGAGAAAAACAAACGUGCGAGCAUCGCAGCGCAUAGCUGGUUGUCCACGUGGCACUUGGGAACAGAAAUUACAGUCGAUCUGGCGCUUAACGAUAAUGCGCGUAACGUACGCGACGUAUAAUUCGCGCCGUGCGGAAAUGCCGAGUCGCGACGACGACGACAACGACGAUGGAAACGGCGAAUAGACGAUGUUGUGCACAGCCAUCCUGUGUCCCGCAAGCAACCGAGUGCAACCCUCGAUGGUUAUUUUAUCACCACGCGAGUUAAAACGGCAUACGAAAAAGGAGAAAGAUAAAGGUGAAAGGGCAGCAAGAGAGGGUAAGAUGCAAUGUCACAGUUCCAAGAAAGCCAAAAAGUCGGUCCUCGAAUGAAUCGAUUUAAUUCACCUCGCGAAAAUGUUCUUUGCAUUGGCGAUCGACUCACGUUCUACCUUUGACUCCGAUGCUAUGUACAAUAAAUAGCGAACUUUUACCGUAAUAAAUAUCAACGACCGUUAUAACAUGAUCGCGGAAAAAACUCUGACGUCGAACAUUUUCUAUAUACUUUACGAACUAUGAAUAAGUCGAAGAACAGAAAUAUCCCUGUGAAUAGCUUUGCGUAUAAUAUAUUAUCUGUAAUCUUUUCACGUGCAGUGCGCAUAUUAUAAAAGAACCUUCAUAGAGAUAGCAAGAAUGAUACUUUUCAUCUGUGCUUGACUCAACAAAGAUUUCAUCGGGCGCCAUGAAAUUUUUUCUCCGCAACUUUCAACGUUAAGUAUGUUGGCGUCGAAGUCUGAGCUUAUCAGAGCUAUAGUGAGUCAAAUAUCCGAGUCAAACGAAAUCCAGGAGUUCCGACAGCAAGCGAAUGAUCAAAUCAAAUAUUACCAGUCGUCAUAUUAAAAGCAAGACGGAUCUUUGCGAGGUGACAUCCACUUGCAAGUUUCGCGACAACAAGGAAGAAAGAGAAGCGGAGAAAGAGAGGGGAGCAAGAGGCGCGGGGAGAAGUCGAAACCGUAAAAGUCGUGCGGUGGAAACGAGUCUGGUGCAAUUACUACGAGGCUGGCUAUCCUCGGACCAGGAACGAACGACCAACCACGCCCUCGCUAAUGCGAGUCCGCGCGAGACAGGAUUUCGAAUUGGCUUGGCAAGGACGCCUGCUAUAUACAAUGCUCCUGCGGCACACAAAGACCGGCUACUGACAUUUUUUAAUUACACCCUGUUUAUGCGACCGAUCCGACUCGAUCCGACAUGCAGAGAGCAACACAUGCCGAGCUAUCUCCGACAAUAAGUUUCGCACGAUAUGGGCACGUGCUUUCCCGUAUCGGCGACCGAAAAUACGCACGAUAAUCUGGACAAAGGCUGAAACACGAGAGCAAGACGAUUGGAACGAGAAACUCUUGAAUUCGUUACUUUUUUCGCUAAAGACUGAUGGAAGGUUCAUUGAGAAUUGAAACCGAUAUAAAUUCAAAAAAUGCGAUUGCGGCGGUGUAUCAUAGGAGAUGGAAAAGUAUGUUUUUUCCUUGAUUGUAGAAAUUUUUAACAGUUUCUAAAGGAAUAUUCAAAUACUGAACGAUGAUGUGUAAAAAUAAAAAAGAAUGAAAAUAUCAUGU